Lactuca sativa (garden lettuce) is the source of this 1507-nucleotide non-coding RNA. NCBI's taxonomy places the organism in Eukaryota, Viridiplantae, Streptophyta, Magnoliopsida, Asterales, Asteraceae. The record is from RefSeq and is a predicted model, not a curated record.
GGUGAGGUGGAUGAGUGUGGAAUAUGACGGGAUUUUUCUGGAUUUUUGAUGGAUUUCUAUGGAAUUUAUGGGUAUUAAUAAAAGUUGCUUUCUUCCGGGUCGGAUCCUGAUGGAUGGGUUGCCGCUCUAUUUUUCUCUCUUGGAUAGUCCACAGAUGAAUUAGUACGAUUCCACUGAAUAGGAGUAUGUGCCACGCUAUUAUACAUCAGCUACCGCUUAUCGUUCCCAUUUCCCAACAUUCGUCUUAUUCUUUCCUUCUCCCUCUCGGCCUCUCCGUCUCUUUUUCAUUCUCCCCGAGUGCACCAUCACCUCCAAUCCACAUUUUCCCUUUGUUUUCUCCACCUAGGGUUCCAUCAUUCACCACAAUCUGAGCCCUAAAUUUCUAUCCUCUCUCAUCUUCGGACAAAGUAGAGUUCUAUGAUUCAUUACAAUCUACCAUAACCAAAACAACUCUGUUUGCUCCAAUAAGUACAUUCAAGUUUCUUCUAUCUCUACUUCACACUCAGGUUAGAAGACACUGGCUGAGCUUAGCGAUCGUCUCCUUUCGGUUUGAAGACCACCAUGUUUCAUAGAGAGGACAAUUGUUCGUAAUUCUCUAUGCCCACCGCUUUGUCUCAAAGAAGAGCCUGAUGCAUGCAAAUCUUGAACACUCUGUUAUCUUCAUCUUCUUUUUCUCUCCACUUAACUCGAACUCUUUCUCUAUCUCUCUCUGGCCUACUUCUAUUGACACCCAACUCUUCUUAUUUGGCAAUUUUCAGGAAGGUUCCCUUUUUCUCCAACUGUUCGUUGUCCUAUUGAUUUUUAACUGUAGUUAAACAAUGGGGGAUUUCUUACACCAUCAGAGAACACGAACCCAAGCUUAAAAAAGAAACCCAACAAACUUGAAAUUGAAGAUGGAAGUUCAAAAUUAAAGCUAUUCAAUAAAACCAUCCAGGUUGAAGAUUAAUAGGUAAAUUUCCUCUUUCUUGUUGUUGGGGGCUAACAUUAACAAUCUGGUAAUCAUCUAAGCUCAUACUGAAAUUACAUGAAAAGUCAAAAGGUUAAUAUGGAACUAUGUUUUAUGCUUAAUUACAGGAACUCACUGGCUCCUUCAUUUUCAAUGUUUUUUGCAGGCCUGGAUCAUCAUCAAGCAGUUUUCUAGGCCUAAGAUAAAGAAGGUCAUCGGUGUUGGAGUCUUGGUAUAACCAUCUUUUGUAGGUCUAUCCUUCUAUGGUGACACUAAGUCUCAUACUCAUUAACAAUAUUUGUCUAUAAUAUAUUAAGGUCCAAACUGAAGGAUCACAUGCAGUAUUGUGUAGAUCAUCCUCAAGAAACCAACAAGGUUUCAAAGGUCAAAGCCCACCGUAGUCAAAGGUGUGAUUUGGAGAACACUGAAAAGGUAAAAUCGUUUUGGGUGUUUAUAUUAAAUAGUCAAACAAAUACUUCUACAAGUAUCUUAUAGGAGGUUGUUAUGAUAUUGUAAGUGAUGGUCAUUUGGAAAGUCGACAAGUUGGCGUUUGUUGGUUAA